CCUACGGGUGGCAGCAGUAGGGAAUAUUGCUCAAUGGGGGAAACCCUGAUGCAGCAACGCCGCGUGGGGGAUGAAGGUUUUCGGAUUGUAAACUCCUGUUGUCAGGGAAGAUAAUGACGGUAUCUGACGAAUAAGCACCGGCUAACUCCGUGCCAGCAGCCGCGGUAAUACGGAGGGGGCAAGCGUUAUUCGGAAUUACUGGGCGUAAAGGGGGCGUAGGCGGGUUAGUAAGUCAGAAGUGAAAGGCUAUGGCUUAACCCUAGGACAGCAUUUGAAACUGUGUUUCUAGAGUACGGGAGAGGUAGGUGGAAUUCCUGGUGUAGCGGUGAAAUUCGUAGAGAUUAAGAGGAAUACCCGUUGCGAAGGCGGCCCUCUGGACUGUAACUGACGCUGAGGCACGAAAGCGUGGGGAGCAAACAGGAUUAGAUACCCGUGUAGUC
Molecule: ribosomal RNA, 440 nt
Filed under: uncultured bacterium
Lineage: Bacteria
Description: partial 16S ribosomal RNA
Rfam family: Bacterial small subunit ribosomal RNA
Source: RNAcentral